GACAGAGGGUGCAAACGUUGUUCGGAAUUACUGGGCGUAAAGCGUGUGUAGGCGGUCUCUUAAGUCGGAUGUGAAAGCCCCGGGCUCAACCCGGGAAGUGCACUCGAAACUGGGAGGCUAGAGUACUGGAGAGGUUGGUGGAAUUCUCGGUGUAGAGGUGAAAUUCGUAGAUAUGGGGAGGAACACCGGUGGCGAAGGCGGCCACCUGGACGGAUACUGACGCUGAGACGCGAAAGCGUGGGGAGCAAACAGG
This 253-nucleotide ribosomal RNA is filed under the name uncultured bacterium. RNAcentral describes it as "partial 16S ribosomal RNA". It matches the Rfam family "Bacterial small subunit ribosomal RNA", at positions 524 to 776 of the family's 1533-position model. The record is from RNAcentral.